This 1502-nucleotide long non-coding RNA is filed under the name Bos indicus x Bos taurus (hybrid cattle). Its description in RNAcentral is "lncRNA (ENSBIXG00005024679.1)". Lineage: Eukaryota; Metazoa; Chordata; Mammalia; Artiodactyla; Bovidae. The record is from RNAcentral.
CUGUUGGGCUGCUGUCUAUGGGGUCGCACAGAGUCAGACACGACUGAAGUGACUUAACCUUACUUUACCUUACCUUAUGGCCACUCACAGUUCUUCCUGGGGAGAAGUGGAGUCUAUUUCCUCCCUAUUGUCUGGGGGACUUGCUUUGACCAAGACAAUAUGGCAGAAGUGACACCAUGCCACUUCUGGGCCUGGAAGCUUCUGCUUUCACUGUCUCAGAAUCCAGCCACCACGUAGUAAGGAAAUCCAGGCUGCCCUGGGGGAAGAAGAAACCAGGGGGUGAGAAAAGUCAUGUGGAGGAUGAAAGGCUAUGCGACACCCCCUUCUAGGUCCUUCAGGCCACAAGCUGAACGCAGCUGCCUGCAUGUCCCGUCCAUUCCCUGUCUUGUCGGCACCGGGUACUUCUCUUGUCUGGUCCACAUCAGCUGUGUCCAGCCUACCAGAGGAGCAAGAAGAAUCACAAAACCACUGUUAUUUUAAGCCCCAACUUUUGGGAUAGUCUGUUACAUAACAAAAGACAACAGAAAUAGAUCCAUUUGCUUUUUGUCUUCUCUCAAACCUCAAUUUUGACCACAGUGUCUGCAAAGAUAUACAGCCCCAUCAAAUAGCAGAAAGAAAACUGAUUUAUUCUGGGCCAACCAUGAAUAUCCAGUGAAUCCUUAUUUUCCCCACCAGGUCACUUUGUUUAGUAUCAAAGAUGCCUCAGAAGAGCGCCUGUGGGUCUCUUCCGCCUCUCCGUUCCUUCUCCCGACUCACUCCGCCUCAAAUUCUGGGAUCUUUUUACGCCCACCUUCCCCUGGGAUCCUGCCCCAAUUUUGGAGAAAACAUACAAGGCCUAUGAGUUGCCGACUGUUUUCUAGAAUAUUCUUAACAUUGUGUUCUAAGCAAAGGUGUUACGUCUUACAGAUUUUUCAGAGGCUACAAGGAAGAAUGAGGGACAGCCCGGCAACAUGUUUGUCACUAUGCCCUUCCCCCAGGAACUGCACGCUCCUGGAAUGUGACCACUUUUCAGAGAUGCCGCCGAUCGGAGUUGAGAGCUGGAGCUCAGAGAUGGGUAGGCUGCUAGUCCCCAGGACAAGCUUCAUUGUUUCCCUGCCCAGCUCAGACUCGCUUCCCAGCCUGGGGGUCCCUGCCUGCUAUGAUGUUUUAUUGGACUCAUCAAUGAGUGAAUGAACUUCAUGAGAGAAUGGUGGGAUGGUUGAGUAAAUGAAUGAAAAGGUAAACGAAUGAGUGGAGAUCCAGUGACUGCUACUAUAUCCAGUUUAGCCACCAGGCCAACAGAUCCUGUCCCAUUCCAUAGCUUAGAUCCAGACACAUGAUGGCUGCAACCUCUGCCUCUUUGAGGGGCCACGGGACCAUCUCACGCUGUGCAGAAAAGCAAGUCUCCUAGACACUUUCUCCUCUUCCCACCCAAGGCUGUAUCAUGAAGAUUAGGAUUAUUAAACUGUAAGCCACCAAAAAUCCAAAAUAAAAGUGGGUUACAGCAGAGAGUUUAUUUCCUA